UACGAAGGGGGCUAGCGUUGCUCGGAAUCACUGGGCGUAAAGGGCGCGUAGGCGGACGUUUAAGUCAGGGGUGAAAUCCCGGGGCUCAACCUCGGAAUUGCCUUUGAUACUGGAUGUCUCGAGACCGGAAGAGGUAAGUGGAACUGCGAGUGUAGAGGUGAAAUUCGUAGAUAUUCGCAAGAACACCAGUGGCGAAGGCGGCUUACUGGUCCGGUUCUGACGCUGAGGCGCGAAAGCGUGGGGAGCAAACAGG
Molecule: ribosomal RNA, 253 nt
Filed under: uncultured bacterium
Lineage: Bacteria
Description: partial 16S ribosomal RNA
Rfam family: Bacterial small subunit ribosomal RNA
Source: RNAcentral